Molecule: ribosomal RNA, 481 nt
Filed under: uncultured bacterium
Lineage: Bacteria
Description: partial 16S ribosomal RNA
Rfam family: Bacterial small subunit ribosomal RNA
Source: RNAcentral
GAUGAACGCUGGCGGCGUGCUUAACACAUGCAAGUCGAACGAAGCACUUUAUUUGAUUUCCUUCGGGACUGAUUAUUUUGUGACUGAGUGGCGGACGGGUGAGUAACGCGUGGGUAACCUGCCUUGUACAGGGGGAUAACAGUUGGAAACUGCUGCUAAUACCGCAUAAGCGCACGGCAUCGCAUGAUGCAGUGUGAAAAACUCCGGUGGUAUAAGAUGUACCCGCGUUGGAUUUGCUAGUUGGUGAGGUAACGGCCCACCAAGGCGACGAUCCAUAGCCGACCUGAGAGGGUGACCGGACACAUUGGGAAUGAGACACGGCCCGAUCUCCUACGGGAGGGAGCAGUGGGGAAUAUUGAACAAUGGGCGAAAGCGUGAUGCAGCGACGCCGCGUAAGCGGAGAAGUAUUUCGGUAUGUAAAGCUCUAUCAGCAGGGAAGGUAAUGACGGUACCUGACUAAGAAGCACCGGCUAAAUACGUG